AGAAUAAUGAUAAGCCAAAAAAGAUGGUUUAUAUAUAUACUUUUAAAGGUGACAAAUUGGAAAUUACUUCCGGCAACCUGAUGACAUCUUGCAAGUCUUUUGUUUCCUUUUCUAAAGUGCAUUCUGUAUGCUUAAAAGUUUUGAUUCUUCUAAUUCCUGCACUUUCUUAUGCCCGAGUUCUUUUGUACUUUUUUUUUUUGUUUUCUGAAGAAACCGUGUUGUGGGUUUUUCUGUUUUUUCCCAAUAGAGCAAGGGAUCAAUGAUAAAGGAGGCAUCUUUUUCAGGUUUGAGGUUAUGUUUAAUAGUUUUUAUCAAUGAUUUUUUAAAUCAAUAGCCUAUUGUUGUUUUUUUGCUUGAACUAUUUUUAUUUAUCGGUAGCCUUCUUGAUUUUCAAGUUUAGAAGAGAUUUUUGCAGUUUUUUGGGACAAAAACAGCUUGGAUGAGUUUUUAGGAAAAUUGCCUUGAAUUCGCUGGCCUUUUGAUUCUUGCAAGGGGCCUUCUUUGAAGCUAAUCCUUUGUCAUUUGUUGGGACAGGAAUUCUGUUGCAGUCAUUUAAGUCAGGUGGAUAGAAAUACUAUUCGUCAAAAAUGGUAUGUUGAAAUGUCACAGAGUGAGAAGGCUGCACUUUCAUGUCGGAGGCAUGAAGCCAGGCUUUUGGAAAAAAAGGGAGAAAUCCUCACGCUCUUAUGUUCAUAGGGUACUGUUUGGUUGCAUAGAAGCCGGUGUUUGUUUUCCUGGUUCUACUCUUGAGGGCGAUAGCAAGCUACUCUUGAAGGCUGUGGUUUUACUCCUCGAGGUAUAUGUGCCGUUGUAGUAUUUUACUCGUCUAUUCUGUAUCUGUUAGUUUAUUUAGCCUUGUGUCAGAUCAUUAUCUUUGAAUGGCUUCACGUUUCUGUGCCAUUUACGAUUGAAGCCAUCUAUUUUUGCACAUUACAGCAGCUCCAUUGAAUGACAUAGUUCAGGUUACAAAAGGUCAACCAGAAUCUAGUGCUGGAAAAAAAACUGUGUCUUCUCAUCUUUGGCCGAACGUUUGGCCUUCUAUUAAUGAUCAGCCUUCUUAGCACAGUCAUAAAGAAGUCUUACCUAAAGGAUUGCCUGACCUCUUAGAUAACAUUACAGUCUUCAAUGAGAACGAACAAACUUGUGAUUCU
Molecule: non-coding RNA, 1151 nt
Organism: Coffea arabica (coffee)
Lineage: Eukaryota; Viridiplantae; Streptophyta; Magnoliopsida; Gentianales; Rubiaceae
Source: RefSeq, a predicted model, not a curated record